UACGGGAGGCAGCAGUGAGGAAUAUUGGUCAAUGGACGAGAGUCUGAACCAGCCAAGUAGCGUGCAGGAUGACUGCCCUAUGGGUUGUAAACUGCUUUUAUGCGGGGAUAAAGUCACCUACGUGUAGGUGUUUGUAGGUACCGCAUGAAUAAGGACCGGCUAAUUCCGUGCCAGCAGCCGCGGUAAU
Molecule: ribosomal RNA, 187 nt
Filed under: uncultured rumen bacterium
Lineage: Bacteria
Description: partial 16S ribosomal RNA
Rfam family: Bacterial small subunit ribosomal RNA
Source: RNAcentral